Non-coding RNA from Fukomys damarensis (Damara mole-rat), 399 nucleotides. NCBI's taxonomy places the organism in Eukaryota, Metazoa, Chordata, Mammalia, Rodentia, Bathyergidae. The record is from the annotation of a RefSeq genome assembly.
ACUCAGCACUGGGGCGUCUCCUCCACCAUGGCCCGGACUCCUUUCCUCCUCACCAUCGUCACUCUCUUCACAGGGUCCCUCUCCCAGCCUACGCUGACUCAGCUGCCCUCUGCAUCUGCCUCCCUGGGACAGACGGUCAAACUCACCUGUACCCUGAGCAGUGGCUACAGUAGUUACAGUGUGGACUGGUACCAGCAGAGCCAGGGGAAAAGCCCUCGGUUUGUGAUGCGAGUGGGUAGCAGUGGUAUUGUGGGAUCCAAGGGGGAUGGAAUCCCUGAUCGAUUCUCAGGAUCAGGCUCUGGCUUGGAUCGAUACUUGACCAUCCAGGACACCCAACAAGAGGAUGAGAAUGUCUACUACUGUGGGGUAGACCACGGCAGUGGAAGUAGCUUUGUGUAA